GAUGAACGCUGGCGGCGUGCCUAAUACAUGCAAGUCGAGCGAACAGAUGAGGAGCUUGCUCCUCUGACGUUAGCGGCGGACGGGUGAGUAACACGUGGAUAACCUACCUCUAAGUCUGGGAUAACUUCGGGAAACCGCAGCUAAUACCGGAUAAUAUAUUGUACCGCAUGGUUCAAUAGUGAAAGACGGUUUUGCUGUCACUUUUAGAUGGAUCCGCGCCGCAUUAGCUAGUUGGUAAGGUAACGGCCUACCAAGGCAACGAUGCGUAGCCGACCUGAGAGGGUGAUCGGCCACACUGGAACUGAGACACGGUCCAGACUCCUACGGGAGGCAGCAGUAGGGAAUCUUCCACAAUGGGCGAAAGCCUGACGGAGCAACGCCGCGUGAGUGAUGAAGGUCUUCGGAUCGUAAAACUCUGUUAUUGGGGAAGAACAGAUGUGUAAGUAACUAUGCACGUCUUGACGGUACCUAAUCAGAAAGCCACGGCUAACUACGUG
Molecule: ribosomal RNA, 497 nt
Filed under: uncultured bacterium
Lineage: Bacteria
Description: partial 16S ribosomal RNA
Rfam family: Bacterial small subunit ribosomal RNA
Source: RNAcentral